CCUUACCUACCCUUGACAUGUAUGGAAUCCUGCUGAGAGGUGGGAGUGCCCGAAAGGGAGCCAUAACACAGGUGCUGCAUGGCUGUCGUCAGCUCGUGUCGUGAGAUGUUGGGUUAAGUCCCGCAACGAGCGCAACCCUUGUCCCUAGUUGCUACGCAAGAGCACUCCAGGGAGACUGCCGGUGACAAACCGGAGGAAGGUGGGGAUGACGUCAAGUCCUCAUGGCCCUUAUGGGUAGGGCUUCACACGUCAUACAAUGGUCGGAACAGAGGGUUGCCAAGCCGCGAGGUGGAGCCAAUCCCAGAAAACCGAUCGUAGUCCGGAUCGCAGUCUGCAACUCGACUGCGUGAAGCUGGAAUCGCUAGUAAUCGCGGAU
This 376-nucleotide ribosomal RNA is filed under the name Burkholderia sp. CAS6. RNAcentral's name for it is "bacterial SSU rRNA". It matches the Rfam family "Bacterial small subunit ribosomal RNA", at positions 969 to 1349 of the family's 1533-position model. The record is from RNAcentral. Lineage: Bacteria; Pseudomonadati; Pseudomonadota; Betaproteobacteria; Burkholderiales; Burkholderiaceae.